This 391-nucleotide unclassified non-coding RNA is filed under the name soil metagenome. RNAcentral describes it as "partial contains 5.8S ribosomal RNA, internal transcribed spacer 2, and large subunit ribosomal RNA". The stretch from base 1 to 122 matches the Rfam family "5.8S ribosomal RNA", at positions 35 to 154 of the family's 154-position model. The record is from RNAcentral.
GAUGAAGAACGCAGCGAAAUGCGAUACUUGGUGUGAAUUGCAGAAUCCCGUGAACCAUCGAGUCUUUGAACGCAAGUUGCGCCCGAAGCCACUAGGCCGAGGGCACGCCUGCCUGGGCGUCACACGCCGUUGCCCCCCCAUCUACUCCUUCGGGAUUGCGGGGGGGCGGAUGAUGGCCUCCCGUGCGCCUAGCCGCGCGGUUGGCAUAAAUACCAAGUCCUCGGCGACGCACGCCACGACAAUCGGUGGUUGCGAAACCUCGGUUGCCCGUCGUGUGCGUUCGUCGCGCAUCGAGGGCUCGAAAAAAUGCUCGGCUCCGGCUGGGCUUUCAACGCGACCCCAGGUCAGGCGGGGUUACCCGCUGAAUUUAAGCAUAUCAAUAAGCGGAUGA